This 168-nucleotide ribosomal RNA is filed under the name uncultured bacterium. Its description in RNAcentral is "partial 16S ribosomal RNA". It matches the Rfam family "Bacterial small subunit ribosomal RNA", at positions 352 to 511 of the family's 1533-position model. The record is from RNAcentral.
CAGUAGGGAAUCUUCGGCAAUGGACGAAAGUCUGACCGAGCAACGCCGCGUGAGUGAAGAAGGUUUUCGGAUCGUAAAACUCUGUUGGUAGAGAAGAACGUUGGUGAGAGUGGAAAGCUCAUCAAGUGACGGUAACUACCCAGAAAGGGACGGCUAACUACGUGCCAG